GGGCCUAUCAGGUAGUAGUGGGUGUAGCGUACCUACUAGCCUACGACGGGUACGGGUUGUGAGAGCAAGAGCCCGGAGAUGGAUUCUGAGACACGAAUCCAGGCCCUACGGGGUGCAGCAGGCGCGAAAACUUUACAAUGCCGGCAACGGCGAUAAGGGGACCUCGAGUGCCAGGUUACAAAUCUGGCUGUCGUGAUGCCUAAAAAGCAUUGCAUAGCAAGGGCCGGGCAAGACCGGUGCCAGCCGCCGCGGUAACACCGGCGGCUCGAGUGGUAACCGUUAUUAUUGGGUCUAAAGGGUCUGUAGCCGGCCGGAUAAGUCUCUUGAGAAAUCCAGCAGCUCAACUGUUGGGCUUUCAGGAGAUACUGUCUGGCUCGAGGCCGGGAGAGGUGAGAGGUACUUCAGGGGUAGGGGUGAAAUCUUGUAAUCCUUGAAGGACCACCAGUGGCGAAGGCGUCUCACCAGAACGGACCUGACGGCAAGGGACGAAAGCUAGGGGCACGAACCGGAUUAGAUACCCGGGUAGUCCUAGCCGUAAACGAUACUCGCUAGGUGUCGGCCACGGUGCGACCGUUGUCGGUGCCGUAGGGAAGCCGUGAAGCGAGCCACCUGGGAAGUACGGCCGCAAGGCUGAAACUUAAAGGAAUUGGCGGGGGAGCAC
This 661-nucleotide ribosomal RNA is filed under the name uncultured archaeon. RNAcentral's name for it is "bacterial SSU rRNA". It matches the Rfam family "Archaeal small subunit ribosomal RNA", at positions 218 to 879 of the family's 1478-position model. The record is from RNAcentral.